Molecule: ribosomal RNA, 253 nt
Filed under: uncultured bacterium
Lineage: Bacteria
Description: partial 16S ribosomal RNA
Rfam family: Bacterial small subunit ribosomal RNA
Source: RNAcentral
UACGGAGGGGGCAAGCGUUAUCCGGAUUUACUGGGUGUAAAGGGAGCGUAGACGGCGAUGCAAGCCAGAUAUGAAAGCCCGGGGCUCAACCCCGGGACUGCAUUUGGAACUGUAUAGCUAGAGUGUCGGAGAGGCAGGCGGAAUUCCUAGUGUAGCGGUGAAAUGCGUAGAUAUUAGGAGGAACACCAGUGGCGAAGGCGGCUUGCUGGACGAAAACUGACGUUGAGGCUCGAAAGCGUGGGGAGCAAACAGG